CUUCCUCCUUCCACCCCUCACCCCGCCCCACCCCGAUCCUGGGGGUCCUGGCCCAGAGGCUUUUUCCUACCCUAGCCUGGUCUCUUGAAAAACAGAGAAGGAAGAGGAGGUUUUCCCUUCCUUUUAGUCUCUUAAUGAUCCACCUUGUCCCUCUAGGUCCCCAAAGUCUCCUGCACCUCAGGCUCUGGGACCACCUGUGCUGGCUCUUGGUUCUGUGAUCUGUGGUAGACCCUUUGGGGUUCUCAUGCAAGAGGAGCAAGCUGACUCCAGAGAUGAGAUUUGAACCUCACAUGAGAAAGACUUUCAAAUGUGUUAGCUUCAGUGGCACACACCAGACUGGGCUUGAACCAUCCUCAGAGCAGCUGUGUGGAGCCCUGGACUUUCAGACUGUGUCUCACAGGAUGAAGCAGGCAGUGCCCAAGGCUGGCUGGAGGCUGUGUCCAUCCAUCCAAAUGGAGGAUUUCCAACCCAGGAGAGCAGCGUGCACUGGGAAUCUUAGAGCUGCCCCUGCAGCAGAGUAUAAAUGGGGACCUGCUGAGCUACUGUUGUUGUCUGCUUCCUGCAUCUCGGCUGUCAGAGGUUGCUUCAUUCUUCCCUGCUCAAGACAACUGGCAGCCCAAAUCCAGAGUGUUGACCACUCAGGUUCUCUCUGUGUUGCAAGAAAGACAUUGUGUGAACAAAGUUUGGUGAUACCAUCACUAGCCGAG
This 707-nucleotide long non-coding RNA is filed under the name Cricetulus griseus (Chinese hamster). RNAcentral describes it as "lncRNA (ENSCGRG00015040776.1)". Lineage: Eukaryota; Metazoa; Chordata; Mammalia; Rodentia; Cricetidae. The record is from RNAcentral.